Molecule: ribosomal RNA, 425 nt
Filed under: uncultured bacterium
Lineage: Bacteria
Description: bacterial SSU rRNA
Rfam family: Bacterial small subunit ribosomal RNA
Source: RNAcentral
CAUGCAAGUCUACGAGAAAGGGGUAGCAAUAUCCUGAGUACAGUGGCGCACGGGUGAGUAACGCGUAGGUAAUUUGCCUUAGGGACGGGGAUAAUUCACCGAAAGGUGGACUAAUACCCGAUGACGCGUCGGGGUCGCAUGGCUCUGACGUCAAAGGUCCGAAAGGGCGCCCUUGGAUAAGCCUGCGUCCCAUUAGGUAGUUGGCGGGGUAACGGCCCACCAAGCCGACGAUGGGUAGCUGGUCUGAGAGGAUGAUCAGCCACACUGGAACUGAGACACGGUCCAGACUCCUACGGGAGGCAGCAGUGAGGAAUAUUGCGCAAUGGGCGAAAGCCUGACGCAGCGACGCCGCGUGGAGGAUGAAGGUCUUCGGAUUGUAAACUCCUGUCAGAGGAGACGAAAGCCCGAGCAAUCGGGUUGGACGG